RNAcentral lists this unclassified non-coding RNA (699 nucleotides) under Hevea brasiliensis (rubber tree). The record is from RNAcentral. Lineage: Eukaryota; Viridiplantae; Streptophyta; Magnoliopsida; Malpighiales; Euphorbiaceae.
GUUCAUCAAGAAGGCCAAAAACUAAAAUUCAAGAGUGAAGUUCAAGAAAGAAGAGAAUCUGAAGGUAUACAGAUGACAUCACAAGCCCACGCCGACACUGAACAAGAACCUAAGCCAGCGUAAAUUAAUAACAGCUUCAAUGUCCCCAUGGGAGCCUAUUAACCAUGAUAAGGUGCAUGCCCAGGAGGAGGAACACCUCCAGGCAGCAUGGUUGAUGGAUGAAAAGGCUGACUUACAGUAAAAGGUUGACUACCAGUAGCAAUGUGAUUGGUCUGCUGUGACGAUCCAAUAGGAUGUACUCCAGUUGCAUAAGCUGGUGGAGCAUAUGAAUGACCUGGAUAUCCGGUAGGAGCCGAUGGAAAGGUUGAUCCUCCACCCUGCAAAUUUGGAUUCCAUGCAGGUGGUGGUGCUUGGCCAGGAACAGCACCAGUAGCGGCAUAGCCAGCUGAUGACUGCACUGGACCAGACUGAGGAUUAUGCCAAACAGCUGGUGCGGCAUGGACUGCAGAUGCUUGUUGCAUCGCAAGCAAACUUGAUUCUGGAACUGUGUAGUCUCUACUUUUAUCACUGUAUGCCUGAUUAGACACAAUUGAAUAAUUAAUUCAAGCUAAGAGGUCAAAUGAAAAAGAUGCAGGAAGCAACAAGUGUCAAGAAGCAUACUUUCAGUAAUAGAAUCUUAAAAUAUGGUGUCGACUCUUU